This 88-nucleotide transfer RNA is filed under the name Actinomycetes bacterium. RNAcentral describes it as "tRNA-Ser". It matches the Rfam family "tRNA". From Rfam's summary of the family: Transfer RNA (tRNA) molecules are approximately 80 nucleotides in length. Their secondary structure includes four short double-helical elements and three loops (D, anti-codon, and T loops). Lineage: Bacteria; Bacillati; Actinomycetota; Actinomycetes. The record is from RNAcentral. RNAcentral also lists the same sequence under 3 other names.
GGAGGGGUGCCAGAGCGGCCGAAUGGGACAGUCUCGAAAACUGUUGUGCCUCCGGGUACCGUGGGUUCAAAUCCCACCCUCUCCGCCA